This 440-nucleotide ribosomal RNA is filed under the name uncultured bacterium. RNAcentral's name for it is "partial 16S ribosomal RNA". It matches the Rfam family "Bacterial small subunit ribosomal RNA", at positions 338 to 795 of the family's 1533-position model. The record is from RNAcentral.
CCUACGGGUGGCAGCAGUGGGGAAUAUUGCACAAUGGGGGAAACCCUGAUGCAGCGACGCCGCGUGAGUGAAGAAGUCAUUCGUUAUGUAAAGCUCUAUCAGCAGGGAAGAAAAUGACGGUACCUGAGUAAGAAGCCCCGGCUACCUACGUGCCAGCAGCCGCGGUAAUACGUAGGGGGCAAGCGUUAUCCGGAUUUACUGGGUGUAAAGGGAGCGUAGACGGCAGUGCAAGUCUGGAGUGAAAGGCGGGGGCUCAACCGCAGAACUGCAUUUGAAACUGUUGAUCUGGAGUACGGGAGAGGCAGACGGAAUUCCUAGUGUAGCGGUGAAAUGCGUAGAUAUUAGGAGGAACACCAGUGGCGAAGGCGGUCUGCUGGACAGCAACUGACGGUGAGGCGCGAAAGCGUGGGGAGCAAACAGGAUUAGAUACCCCGGUAGUC